UGAAGUUGUCCCUUGAACUUGCGUGCCCCAGAAUGCCAGAAGGCGGCCUUGUCAUAGGCCGCCUUCUUUUUAGCCGCUA
This 79-nucleotide unclassified non-coding RNA is filed under the name Bradyrhizobium erythrophlei. RNAcentral's name for it is "suhB". The record is from RNAcentral. Lineage: Bacteria; Pseudomonadati; Pseudomonadota; Alphaproteobacteria; Hyphomicrobiales; Nitrobacteraceae.